Molecule: non-coding RNA, 495 nt
Organism: Schizosaccharomyces pombe (fission yeast)
Lineage: Eukaryota; Fungi; Ascomycota; Schizosaccharomycetes; Schizosaccharomycetales; Schizosaccharomycetaceae
Source: the annotation of a GenBank genome assembly
ACCGACAUUAUCAACCACUUUAUGAUUCCGCAAAAUCUUAAGAGGAACAAUCAAGGGAUUAGCCAGAAGGUCACUGUAAACACGACCGUGGAACACUUGAACAUCACCAUCAUCAGAGCCAGAGCAAAAUAGUGGAAGGGAAGGAUGAUAUGAGACAUCGCGAAGAGCACGUGAAUGAUAUCGAAGAUUUUUAUAUGGUUUAGAAGAAAAGUCUAAGUCGAACCAACAUAGCCUUUUAUCAUAGGAACCUAUUAUGACAUGGUCCCCACUCGAAUGGACACUUAAACUCGAAACCCAUUUGACACCAGUUAACAAGGUCUUUACAAGCUCUUGCUUAACAAGAUUGUAUAUGCGGACAUAUCGUUGAGUAGCAACCAGAAGAUAAGGCAUAGUAGGGUGAAACGUAACAGCUUGCACAGAACCUUUAGACUUAGAAAAUGGCGAUUGACUUGCACCUCUUGACAACUGAUGAAUAAGAACCGCCUGGCUAGAAGA